Molecule: transfer RNA, 73 nt
Organism: Loxodonta africana (African savanna elephant)
Lineage: Eukaryota; Metazoa; Chordata; Mammalia; Proboscidea; Elephantidae
Rfam family: tRNA
About the family: Transfer RNA (tRNA) molecules are approximately 80 nucleotides in length.
Source: Rfam
GGUUCCAUGGCGUAGUGGUUUGCACAUCUGCUUUACACGCAGAAGAUCCUGGGUUCAAUCCCCAGUGGAGCCA